This is a non-coding RNA of Plutella xylostella (diamondback moth), 195 nucleotides long. The record is from RefSeq and is a predicted model, not a curated record. NCBI's taxonomy places the organism in Eukaryota, Metazoa, Arthropoda, Insecta, Lepidoptera, Plutellidae.
GCAUCUGCCAAACUCAUUUGAAGACACGAUUUACUAUGAAGCUAAAAGCGGUCAAGUUAAUGCCUUAUCUGGGUGCAAGAAGAUUCGGUGCAAAGAUCACAAUUUUGCACGUGAUUCCGCUGUCGUCAUCUGAGGAGUUUUGUUGUAAAUUGCAAUAAUUAUUGAUGUAAUUUUUAAUAAAAUUUAAUAAUUUUA